This 571-nucleotide ribosomal RNA is filed under the name uncultured bacterium. RNAcentral's name for it is "bacterial SSU rRNA". It matches the Rfam family "Bacterial small subunit ribosomal RNA", at positions 102 to 694 of the family's 1533-position model. The record is from RNAcentral.
ACGGGUGAGUAAUAUGUAGGAAAUCUGCCCUAGAGAGGGGGACAACAGAGGGAAACUUCUGCUAAUACCCCAUAUGAGCUAUCCUGAAAUGGAUAUCUUGAAAACUCCGGUGCUCUGGGAUGAGCCUGCAUCUGAUUAGCUUGUUGGUGGGGUAAUGGCCUACCAAGGCGACGAUCAGUAGCUGGUUUGAGAGGAUGAUCAGCCACAAUGGGACUGAGACACGGCCCAUACUCCUACGGGAGGCAGCAGUAGGGAAUUUUGCGCAAUGGGCGAAAGCCUGACGCAGCAACACCGCGUGAAUGUUAAGCCCUUCGGGGUGUAAAGUUCUGUCAGUGGGGACGAAAUUUGACGGUACCCACAGAGGAAGCACCGGCUAACUCCGUGCCAGCAGCCGCGGUAAUACGGAGGGUGCAAGCGUUGUCCGGAAUCAUUGGGCGUAAAGAGUUCGUAGGUGGUAUGUUAAGUCUGGUGUUAAAUCCCGAAGCUCAACUUCGGCACGGCAUCGGAUACUGGCAAACUUGAAUGCGGUAGAGGUAAAGGGAAUUCCUGGUGUAGCGGUGAAAUGCGUAGA